CUUUUAGUAGGGAAGAAGCGAAAGUGACGGUACCUGCAGAAAAAGCACCGGCUAACUACGUGCCAGCAGCCGCGGUAAUACGUAGGGUGCAAGCGUUGUCCGGAAUUAUUGGGCGUAAAGAGCUCGUAGGCGGUUUGUCGCGUCUGCUGUGAAAACCCGAGGCUCAACCUCGGGCCUGCAGUGGGUACGGGCAGACUAGAGUGCGGUAGGGGAGAUUGGAAUUCCUGGUGUAGCGGUGGAAUGCGCAGAUAUCAGGAGGAACACCAAUGGCGAAGGCAGAUCUCUGGGCCGUAACUGACGCUGAGGAGCGAAAGCAUGGGGAGCGAACAGGAUUAGAUACCCUGGUAGUCCAUGCCGUAAACGUUGGGAACUAGAUGUGGGGACCAUUCCACGGUCUCCGUGUCGCAGCUAACGCAUUAAGUUCCCCGCCUGGGGAGUACGGCCGCAAGGCUAAAACUCAAAGGAAUUGACGGGGGCCCGCACAAGCGGCGGAGCAUGCGGAUUAAUUCGAUGCAACGCGAAGAACCUUACCAAGGCUUGACAUAUAGAGGAAACGGCUGGAAACAGUCGCCCCGCAAGGUCUCUAUACAGGUGGUGCAUGGUUGUCGUCAGCUCGUGUCGUGAGAUGUUGGGUUAAGUCCCGCAACGAGCGCAACCCUCGUCCUAUGUUGCCAGCACGUAAUGGUGGGAACUCAUGGGAUACUGCCGGGGUCAACUCGGAGGAAGGUGGGGAUGACGUCAAAUCAUCAUGCCCCUUAUGUCUUGGGCUUCACGCAUGCUACAAUGGCCGGUACAAAGGG
RNAcentral lists this ribosomal RNA (800 nucleotides) under Cryobacterium sp. UYIF54. RNAcentral describes it as "bacterial SSU rRNA". It matches the Rfam family "Bacterial small subunit ribosomal RNA", at positions 433 to 1246 of the family's 1533-position model. The record is from RNAcentral. Lineage: Bacteria; Bacillati; Actinomycetota; Actinomycetes; Micrococcales; Microbacteriaceae.